GCAUUGGUUGUUCAGUGGUAGAAAUUCUCGCCUAGCACGCGGGAGGCCCGGGUUCGAUUCCCGGCCAAUGCA
Oncorhynchus mykiss (rainbow trout) is the source of this 72-nucleotide non-coding RNA. The record is from the annotation of a RefSeq genome assembly. Lineage: Eukaryota; Metazoa; Chordata; Actinopteri; Salmoniformes; Salmonidae.